This is a non-coding RNA of Cinara cedri, 225 nucleotides long. Lineage: Eukaryota; Metazoa; Arthropoda; Insecta; Hemiptera; Aphididae. The record is from the annotation of a GenBank genome assembly.
CUGCUGUUAAUAUGUGUGAUGAGAAGGCCUGAUUUUUAGUGGACAUACUGUUUUAAGUUUAGUGGGGACAGUUAUAUCUAUUGAUUUUCAUUAAACGUCUCGUUUUUGUCAUAAUUUUAAUGUAAUUGGACUGAGAAUAAUAGUUCCAUUAGAAAUACAACAAGAAGUAUUAAACAAAAUCUAUGAAGAUCAUCAGGGGAUAAAAAAAUGUACGACUAAAGCAAG